AUACCAGCUCUUCUAGCAUAUAUUAAAGUUGCUGCAGUUAAAACGCUCGUAGUUUGAAUUAUUUCGGUGUCAGGCUGGCUGGAAAAUUUAAUUUUUCAAGCUGUCUGGUGCCGAAUUAAAGUUUGGGUAGAGCAGAUUAAUUUCUCUCUAUCCAUUUAACCUUGAAAAAACAUUGUCGCUCAAAAAAGGACGGAAAAGUCUAUUGAGAUUUCAGCAUGGGAUUAUGAAAAAAGGGGGGCGGGUGCGAAAGGGGGUAAAAGCCCGAUUGGCUCGUUUCCAAUGGUUAAUGAGGACGAUGCGUGGAAGUUCAUAUUAAUAAGUCAGAGGUGAAAUUCUUGGAUUUUAUUAAGAUGAACAUCAGCGAAGGCGUUCUUCAAGUGCGUGCCUGUCGAUCAAGAACGAAAGUUGGGGGAUCGAAGACGAUCAGAUACCGUCGUAGUCUCAACCUUAAACUAUGCCGACUAUGAAUAGGAUAUCGUUUUAAGAAGGGCGUCAAAAACCCUUCUGAUGACUUCUCCUGCGCAUUAAAAGAAAUUAAGAGUUUUUGGGUUCCGGGGGGAGUAUAGUCGCAAGGCCGAAACUUAAAGGAAUUGACGGAAGGGCACCACCAGGUGUGGAGCCUGCGGCUUAAUUUGACCCAACACGGGGAAACUUACCAGGUCCAGACAGCGUGAGGAUUGACAGAUUGAUAGCUCUUUCAUGAUUCGUUGGGUGGUGGUGCAUGGCCGUUCUUAGUUGGUGGUGUGAGAUGUCUGGUUGAUUCCGUUAACGAACGAGACCUUCGUUGUAUAAUACGAGGCGCUAGUUUUUGCGUCAAGGGUAGUGGCUCCUUCUUGAGAUACGAGCAAUCGCCUUGGGAAAAGGGUCAUUACUUGCAUAGCUAGCGUCAGUUUCGUUCUAUACAAGACAAAUACAGAAAAUGUAUGGGAAGUUGUAGGCAAAAACAGGUCUGUGAUGCCCUUCGAUGUUCUGGGCUGCACGCGCGCUACAAUGACAAUGUCAGCGAGUUUUUUAGCUUGGGCGAAAGCUCUGGCAAAUCUUCGAAACGUUGUCGUACUAUGGAUUGUUGAUUGCAACUAUUCGACAUAAAACAUGAAUACCUAGUAGACGUGCUUCAUCAGAGUACGUCGAUUACGUCCCUGCCCUUUGUACACACCGCCCGUCGCUCCUACCGAUUGGAACAUACGGUGAAAAUCUCGGAG
RNAcentral lists this ribosomal RNA (1202 nucleotides) under metagenome. Its description in RNAcentral is "bacterial SSU rRNA". It matches the Rfam family "Eukaryotic small subunit ribosomal RNA", at positions 582 to 1715 of the family's 1831-position model. The record is from RNAcentral.